GAGAUACAAGGUUUACUUCAUAAAAUUUCAAUUCAUGUAACAAUUUUAUAUUUGUGUGGCCUCAAAUAUAUAAAGCAAAAUUCACAGAACUAUAUCUAAGUAGGGAUAACUCAACAAUUGUCUCAUUAAUAGAACAAGCAAAUAAAACUUCUUAAUUAAGAGCAGAGAAGAUCUGAACAACGUAUUACAAACAAUGUAAUGGCUUUAUGUAGACGACUGCAUGCAGCAUCUGCAGAACAUGCACUUUUUUCAAGUGCCCACAAACCUUCACUAAGGUUAAACAUGUGCUGGGCCAUAAAGCAAAUCUCAACACAUUUCAAAGGAGAGCAGUCAGAUGGAGCAUGUUUUGUAACCACAAUAACAAAAAUAUAACUAGGAAAUUCCCAUGUUUGGAAGUUAAAAAAUACUCUUCUAAAUAACCCAUGGAAUCUGUUGUGAUUUCCCAAUUUUCAUUCCUGACUUUUUUUGUGCUUUUCUUUUUCAAUCACAUCAGAGGUUUACCAAUUUUCAGUCUUUUCAAAGUCCCAACCUUGACUUUGUUGGUCUUCUUUAUUGUGUUGUUUGCUGUUUCAUCAACGUUUGCCCUCAUUCUUAUCUCUUUCAACUUUUAAGAAGAUAGUCAAUUUAACAAUAUUUGUACAAAAUUUUUAUAAAAUACAGAGCAUUUUUAUUAAGCCUUAAAAUAAUCUUGUAAACAGGACCUUUCCCUCAUUUUACAGAUGAGAAAAUGAUAGAACAGGAAAUAAACUCGUAUUAUUGCAUUGAAUGGAAUAUGGCCCUAUGGUUUGCACCCAAGACCAGAGGAACUUCGCCUGCUCCUCUCUGGGGCUUUGCCCUGCCCACCUCAGGACCACUACUUAUCCUCUGAGAUCUUAAGCGACACUAACCAGAAAUAGCCAUGGUUAAGACAGUGGAAGUCUGGCUCUCACCAACCCUUCCUACAGUAAUCUCCAGCACAUCUGAGUAUUGCUGGGAAAACACAGGGGAAACAAAAUAUACCAUGUGAGUGAGCAAGCUGCCCAGGCCAGAGAAGCAAGCAUGAGGCAGCCCUCGACCCCCAACACGUGUGGUUACUGGCCUCAGUCGGAGGCUCCUCUGCUGAGCCCUUUUGCAGCCCGACAAAGACAAAACAUGUUUAGAGACAAUGGAUUGCUUACUUAGAAGCAAGAUACCUCUCAGGAACAUCCAAAACAUCACUUUUCUCAUGUUUCUUCUGAAGUUGUGUCUGAGUAGGGGGUGGUCCUUGAGGGAUUUCCUUGACUUCCAGGUAAGAGUUGUCCUCCAUUACCCAAGCAUCUAGAUGCUGAGUCCCUGGACAGGGCCACUACACUUACUCAUCAGACUUACUCCAUACAUUCUUAUGCAAAUACUUCUCAUUCUAGGCAGCCUUCUAAGGACCUGAACACUACUAAUGCUUCCAACCCUCAUUACAAUCUAUGAGGUUGCUACUAUUAUCAUCUUUACAAAAGACAGGUGAGGGCCUGGCAUGGUAGCCUGUGGCUGCUCAGGCCUGUAAUCUCAGCACCUUGGGAGUCUGAGGCUGGACAGAUUACUUGAGGGCAGGAGUUCGAGACCAGCCCAGCCAACAAUGAUGAAACCCUGUCUCUACCAAAAAUACCAAAGUUAGCCUGGCAUGGUGGUGCAUGCCUAUAAUCCCAGCUACUCUGGAGGCUGAGGCAUGAGAAUUGCUUGAGCUCAGGAGGUGGAGGUUGUAGUGAACUGAGAUCAUGCUGCUGCACUCCAGCCUGGGCGACAGAGCAAGACUGUCUUUUUUUUUUUAAAAAAAAAAAAAAAAAGACAGGUGAGGACAUUCUAGUUUAGUUUCUUGCCUAAAUUCAUCUGGAAAAAAGUGAGAGUCCUUAUUUGAACUCAGGUUUACUGGUAGAGAGACCAUGUCCUCAGUCACUAUACUUCACUGCCUCUACACAAGUUUCCUGCAGUUUCCUUAGCACAAUGACACUAUCCAUAGCCUCAGAAAAACUGCCAGGUCUAAAUGAGAACGGCUCCUCAGUAGGAAGAAAAUUGAAGUACUAUAUUCUGCUUCCUUCUCCAUCUCUCUAGGUCAAGGCCCUUAGCUGAAGCUGGAGAAGAGGAAUGAAGGGUCUUCCCAGCCCAGGGACUCCCUGGGUACAGCUGUGGCAAAUUCCUCAAGGUCUUGAUGCAGACAGACGUCAGGUCCCCAAUGUCUGUCUUCAGCUA
This is a long non-coding RNA of Macaca fascicularis (crab-eating macaque), 2199 nucleotides long. Lineage: Eukaryota; Metazoa; Chordata; Mammalia; Primates; Cercopithecidae. The record is from Ensembl.